UCUCCCUCCCUAACGCCAUUUUCUUCUCCCAUUCUCUCCCAAAUUUUUGUUCUAUAUUCCUCCAUAAGUUCUUCAUCCUUUGAGAAGAAUUUAAGUUGAAGCCUCAAGUAUUGUUGAAGAAUCAAGAUCAUACUUUCUACCGAUCGUUUCUAUCAAAAAGAGGGAAAAGGGAACCGUCGGGGGACAUGCAUAAUAUUAAGUCAAUGUUUGUGACUAAUUGGUAAUACAUAUCAUCUAAAGGUGAUAACGCGUGAGCGAAGUGUGAUAACAAAGGGAAAGCAGUACUUGAAAUCUAAACGGUCGAGGUUGAGCGGCGGCGAGAGGUUGGUGGUGUUGAGC
This is a long non-coding RNA of Salvia splendens (bonfire salvia), 339 nucleotides long. RefSeq lists it as uncharacterized. NCBI's taxonomy places the organism in Eukaryota, Viridiplantae, Streptophyta, Magnoliopsida, Lamiales, Lamiaceae. The transcript has 3 exons. The record is from RefSeq and is a predicted model, not a curated record.